This is a long non-coding RNA of Apis cerana (Asiatic honeybee), 1088 nucleotides long. RefSeq lists it as uncharacterized. The record is from RefSeq and is a predicted model, not a curated record. Lineage: Eukaryota; Metazoa; Arthropoda; Insecta; Hymenoptera; Apidae.
ACUCGAUGUUGAUUUAUUAUUACAACGGAACGGCCUAUCGAGAUUAUGCAACGAUACGUGGGGAUAUCUCAUGCCACGUAGGCGACGCCGAUGGCGACAUUGCAGGCACGUGGCACUGCACAUGCACCAAUGUUUAUAGCGGCAGUUGUGUGCGCUUUCUCGUAACUGAAUGUAAUCGUUCUCCUACAUAUGCAUGAAUACAAUGCUAAAAAUCCACAUUAGCGCGCUAUGUCACCUUCACAAUCGUGAUAAUUAUGGAACAACAAUUUUAAUCACAUAAAUAUACCGGGAAUAAAAAUUCAUCUGAAAAAUUUGUUUCAUAAAUUAUAUGAAUUUAAUUGCAUACAUAUGUAUAAAAAUAGAAAAUAGAAUAAAAAAAUAUAUCUAGAUGAUUCAUCACAGUGAUAUGAGAUACUUCAAAUUUUGUGAUCUGAAUAAAAAAAAAUCAUCAUGCAACAUUUUUAAAAUUUAUGAGAAGAAUCAGCCAUUAUCGCGAUUGCUUCGUCAUAUUGAUCGUAUUUGAAUAAAAUUUAAAUGAUAUCUUACCUGGAUCCAAAUGUUGAAGGACGCCUACCGCAAUAACCACUACUUUCAGAGCGGUUGCUGUUUCUCGAAAUCGAGCUGCCACUACUGAAAUAGAAAUUAAUGAAUAUUAGAAUUAAAUAUUAAAAUAAAUUCUUGGAUUGUUUGUUUAAUAACAAGUGGAAAAUAUAAAUAUUUUCGGAUAUCUUUAUCGUAAUAUGGAUUAUAUAAUGUAGACAUUAAUGCCUGACAAUCAAUCGACUAAACUACUGUGUUUAUUCGUUGAGUCUGACCUUGAUUAUCCGUUACUACUGAAUCUGCUUGCACUUUGAAUUUUUAAUUUUUAAAUUGAUGUACAAAUUUUUUUACUAAUAUUGUGUUAGUAUUAUUAAUGUUAGUGUAAUAUUAUUUAAAAAUAAGAAGUUAAUAUUAAAAUAAAUCUUCUUGCGUGAUAGUAACAAGUUUGCAAUAUAAAAAAAUUACUUUUAUAAAUUACUUUUAUAAAAUCCGUUAAUUAUAUUAUAACUAUUUAUUAAAAUAAUAAAAACUUUUUUAUAGAACAGAAA